GUCGAGCUUUCUUCUUUCUUCAAGUAAUCCUAUAAAAGAAGCAUGAAGAUUACCAUGUUCGUGCCAACCCUAAUUGUGUUAUGUCUGCUAUUCUCUGCCUCUGAAGCCAUCCAAUGUAGCGAUGUUAACGAGGCCUUGUCUCCCUGCGUUGAAUACAUUAAUCCUAAGUUUGGCCGAGGGGAGCUACAUCAGGAGUGCUGUAUUAGACUCUUGGCAUUGGCCGACGAAGUUAAGUCCCCAUUAGAUCGAAAGAAGACUUGCAUCUGCAUCCGUAGAGUCUAUAAGACCCUCCACCCUAAUCCCACGGUCGCACAGAGCCUCCCCUCGGCUUGCAAAAUCAGACUGCCAUUUAGCCUGGCAACCAACACGGAUUGCAACAAGAUAAACUGAUGAUCAGUUCAAGCUCAAACAACUACCGGAGUCGCAAUUAGGAUUCAUUUCCUUGCAAGCGUUAUCAAUCCUAAUUAUAUGUAUGAGCGUUGGUGUUUU
RNAcentral lists this unclassified non-coding RNA (489 nucleotides) under Hevea brasiliensis (rubber tree). The record is from RNAcentral. Lineage: Eukaryota; Viridiplantae; Streptophyta; Magnoliopsida; Malpighiales; Euphorbiaceae.